Molecule: transfer RNA, 72 nt
Filed under: Loxodonta africana (African savanna elephant)
Lineage: Eukaryota; Metazoa; Chordata; Mammalia; Proboscidea; Elephantidae
Rfam family: tRNA
About the family: Transfer RNA (tRNA) molecules are approximately 80 nucleotides in length.
Source: Rfam by way of RNAcentral
GCCGUGGUGGCAUAGUGGUUAAAGCAUUCGGCUGCUAACUGAAGGGUCGACGGUUUGAACCCACCAGCUGCU